Suricata suricatta (meerkat) is the source of this 121-nucleotide small nuclear RNA. Its record names the gene U5. It matches the Rfam family "U5 spliceosomal RNA". Rfam says of the family: U5 RNA is a component of both types of known spliceosome. The precise function of this molecule is unknown, though it is known that the 5' loop is required for splice site selection and p220 binding, and that both the 3' stem-loop and the Sm site are important for Sm protein binding and cap methylation. Lineage: Eukaryota; Metazoa; Chordata; Mammalia; Carnivora; Herpestidae. The record is from Ensembl.
AUACUCUUGUUUCUCUUCAGAUCAUAUAAAUCUUUCUCCUUUUACUAAAGAUUUCUGUGGAGAGGAGCAAGAUGGUGGGAGACAAGUGAGAGAAGUAUUUUCCUUUUCUGUCAUAGGAAAC